UGGCAUGAUCCAGUCCCCAUACAAUUCAGCAACUAGGGAUGGUUUGAUUUUGUACACGGGAUCUCCUACAUGUUCCGGUCCAUUGUUCAGUUCCUGUCCAUAAGUUUUCGUUUUCAUUUCUACUCUAUUUUUUAUAGCCUCUUCAACUGUAGGGUAGGUUAGUAAAUCCAUCAAACCGUCUCGGUCCUGUGCUUUUAUAGCAGCCUUAUAGACAUCUGGUGAAGCUCGAAAUUUUGCUUCGGCAACAAAUUUUCCGUAAUGAAUUCUCUUUGACAAGGCCUGCAAGCAAAUGGUAUCACAUACUGCUGUAGAUCCAG
Molecule: unclassified non-coding RNA, 317 nt
Filed under: Hevea brasiliensis (rubber tree)
Lineage: Eukaryota; Viridiplantae; Streptophyta; Magnoliopsida; Malpighiales; Euphorbiaceae
Source: RNAcentral